Humulus lupulus (European hop) is the source of this 692-nucleotide long non-coding RNA. RefSeq lists it as uncharacterized. The transcript is spliced from 3 exons. The record is from RefSeq and is a predicted model, not a curated record. NCBI's taxonomy places the organism in Eukaryota, Viridiplantae, Streptophyta, Magnoliopsida, Rosales, Cannabaceae.
UAUUUUUCUAACACAUUUGAGGUAAACAUCAUAGGGUAGAGACUAGAGAUUAGACUGUCAUCGGCUCUUUGGUUAGUAGGUAUUUUGUUUUUGGUAUAAAAUCAUCCACACCAACUCAACUCAACACACAUAAUAACAUUAUUUUGUCACUCUAUACUGACUCCUCUUCAGUCAUCCCCCGAAUUGAGGUCUUUUGUCUCGUUUUCAAUUGUUUAGAACUCCUCAUCGAUCUUUAUCUCUUUGCUUGGUUCGGAUCAGAACAAAUCAUCAUGAGCGAUCCAAAAUAUGCUUAUCCCUACCCUGCUCAAGGUUACUAUCAAGGUCCUCCUGUGAUGGCCCCUCCACAGUAUCAGUAUGCUGCUCCACCACCAAGAAGAGAACCAGGGUUCCUUGAAGGAUGUCUUGCCGCUUUGUGUUGCUGCUGCCUUAUUGACGAGUGCUGCUGUGACCCCUCCAUCAUCUUCAUAAGUUAAAUAUUACAAUUAUAUUAGUAUAUAUGGUUUAGAGGAUCAUAUUUAUAUAUAAUUUUAAUUGUGGUGUGAUGAUGUUAUGUUAUUAUGCUUGUGAAGGAGUGUUUCUUUAUGUAGCUAGAUCAUUCUUCGUCUUCGUCUGUAAUGGUUAUGAUUUUUACAUACCUACAAAGACCUUAGUUUGUUUGUGUUCUUCUUAUAUAUUGUUUUUGGUUUACAUUU